This 322-nucleotide ribosomal RNA is filed under the name uncultured Glissomonadida. Its description in RNAcentral is "SSU rRNA". The stretch from base 112 to 322 matches the Rfam family "Eukaryotic small subunit ribosomal RNA", at positions 744 to 955 of the family's 1831-position model. The record is from RNAcentral. Lineage: Eukaryota; Cercozoa; Glissomonadida.
GAUUUCUGGCCUGAAACAUUUUGCCGGCCGCGGUUUCGCGUGUUAGUGCUUGAUGUUCUGGCCAUCCUUCCAAUUGCUAUUCAUCUUUCUUCAUUGAUGGGUGGAUGGUGUUGGAUCUUUUACUUUGAAAAAAUUAGAGUGUUUCAAGCAGGCUUAAUGCUAUGAAUACAUUAGCAUGGAAUAAUAAUUUAGGACUUCGGUUCUAUUUUGUUGGUUUCUAGGACUGAAGUAAUGAUUGAUAGGGAUAGUUGGGGGUGCUAGUAUUCAGCGGCCAGAGGUGAAAUUCUCGGAUUCGCUGAAGACUAACUUAUGCGAAAGCAUU